UCCAGUUAGAACAAGUCGUGGAGGGCUGGUU
This 31-nucleotide non-coding RNA is filed under the name Mus musculus (house mouse). Lineage: Eukaryota; Metazoa; Chordata; Mammalia; Rodentia; Muridae. The record is from RNAcentral.